UCUACCUUUUACUUUAUUUAUUCUACCAGAUAUAGUCUUUCUUUAGCCCUCCUGAAAUAUAAAUAUUAUUUUCUAAUUAACAUCCCAAUCUAUGUCUUUGAUGAAGAUCACAAGCACCCAUCCAUCAGCAUCCCUCCCUCCGUCGUUUCUCACCCCCAAGCAUGAAACCAUUGAAUUGAGUAUCUUUGCCUCUGCAAAAGGAAACUGAGCAACCCCCACAACAUCCACAUCUAAUUAUUUGCUCCCACAUCUCCCUCUCUCUCUCUCUCUCUCUCUCUCUCUCUCUCUCUCUCUCUCUCUCUCUCUCUCUCUCUCUCUCUCUCUCGCAAUGAUGUCACCGGAUAACAUUCCGGCAAAGUCGGUUGUCAGAGACGACAGCCAAGGCUCUGGUAGCCGCAAAACUGCGUCGGCGAGGCCACCAGAGCAAGGCCUAAAGUGCCCCCGAUGCGACUCACCCAACACCAAAUUCUGCUACUACAACAACUACAGCCUCACGCAGCCAAGGCAUUUCUGCAAGACUUGUAGAAGGUACUGGACAAAAGGUGGGGCUUUGCGCAAUGUUCCCAUAGGCGGCGGUUGCAGGAAAAACAAGAAGGUUAAGUCAUCCUCGAGGCUCUCCGGCGACUCCAAAGACUCAGCCUCAUCUUCGGAGAUCGGUGGAUUGAAGUUCUUCCAUGGCCUAUCCCCAGCCAUGGAUUUUCAGCUUGGUGGGUUAUCAUUCCCUAGACUCCACCCUCCAACAACUGCUAUUAAUUACAACCAGUUUUCUUCAUUUGGAGACGUUUCGGGUACUACUUUUGCUGCUGCUUCUGGAACUGUCACCAGUCCUUGUUUUAAUCUUGAUCCUUCUGGAAGCUCUAAUUCUCUGAUGGCUUUCAAUUAUCCGCUUUCUUCCGCAACUGCCGGUGGUAGUUUCAGUCCUGGAGUUCAGAACACGAGCUCCAUGAACGUUCACAGCAAUCUUGCUUCUUCCAUCGAGUCUCUGAGUACUAUAAACCAGGACUUGCACUGGAAGCUACAGCAGCAGCGGCUGGCCAUGCUAUUUGGCGGAGAGAGUCACAAAGAUAACAACGUUUCGUCGGUUCCUCUUGAAAACCACACUCAGAAACCGCAACCCAUUGUUUUCCAGAAUCUGGAGAUUUCAAAACCAGAGGCUUCCAGCGUUGGUAAUUCAAGGAGAGAAGGUACAGGUGGUGAUCAGAUAGCGACGGAGUGGUUCUUUGGGAACUCUUUUGGGCCGGUGACACCUACUCCGACCAACAGUGGCGGCAACGGUGGCCACAAUAACGCGGGCAGCUGGAAUGGAAUUCAAACAUGGGGUGACUUGCAACAAUAUAGCGCUUUGCCCUAGAUGAAAAGGAUGUUGAAAAUAGGGAAAAUGUGAAAUUAUCAAAAACCAUUUAGGGCCAUUGCCGAUUAUGGUAGCAAAUAAAUGCUAGUUUUAGAUGAUGAAGUGAAAGCAAUGGGUGUCGGACUCCCCCUAAUUACUAUGAUGUUUUUCAGUGGUUUUUUUGAACGAUCAAUCUCUAGCGUUCUUGCUCACCGGUUCUUUAAGGGUUUGAAUGUUUGAUGAUGCUCUUUUCUUCUCUACAAAAUCUCUUUGGGAUCUGUGGUGGACUUUUUGGACUGUUAUUAUAUGGCCCUUAAUACCAUAUCUUUGAUUUGUUUUAUGUUCAGUCUGUAUCCCAGAAACUCUCAGUCUGUGUGUGUUCCCUCUCUAUAGCCAUCUUUAUCAAGGAACUGAGUCUCAGGCUGCUCAGCCACAGAACAGCAUCAAUUUAAUGAAACACCACAGUAGCAGUGGCUGGCCGGGAAAG
RNA transcript from Alnus glutinosa, 1817 nucleotides. It is a transcript of the gene named dof zinc finger protein DOF5.7-like, with no coding region annotated. The record is from RefSeq and is a predicted model, not a curated record. NCBI's taxonomy places the organism in Eukaryota, Viridiplantae, Streptophyta, Magnoliopsida, Fagales, Betulaceae. The transcript is spliced from 2 exons.